AGUCCCUCAUAACACAUGCAGCUUCACCAUGGUGGACCUGCAUGUCUGCGCUGUCCUUCAGCAAGAACAGUGCUUUCUCCAAUGCCCGCCAAGGCAUCGGUGCAUGGCAUCACUAAUGAGAAGCUUGACAUUUUCUUGGAGGUACCAAGAGCAUUUCGGAUCAAACCCUUGCUGCCCAAAGAAGCAAGCACUGAGCUGCCAUUUAAAAGCUUCAUUCUUCUUUUGUGACCUACAGCCUCAAUGAGAGUUUUUACAGAAAUAGAGAGCCAUGGAACAACAAAUUUGGGAACCGUGUCAUUUGACAAAAAAUGUUUGGCUUAGAAUGUUAUUCUUUUUUAAUGUAUCUUUCAGCUGCUGUCAUUAAAAUUGUUAAAUAACAUUAGAAACGUGUUUUGUCAAUUACCUUGGGGACAAGUAUAAAAUAUUGGGCUGUUAAAUGCACGCCACAAAAAAAAAAAAAUAAAACUGCACAGAGCAAAUGCUGCA
RNAcentral lists this long non-coding RNA (486 nucleotides) under Anser brachyrhynchus (Pink-footed goose). RNAcentral's name for it is "lncRNA (ENSABRG00000010963.1)". The record is from RNAcentral. Lineage: Eukaryota; Metazoa; Chordata; Aves; Anseriformes; Anatidae.